Long non-coding RNA from Suricata suricatta (meerkat), 865 nucleotides. RefSeq lists it as uncharacterized. The transcript is spliced from 4 exons. Lineage: Eukaryota; Metazoa; Chordata; Mammalia; Carnivora; Herpestidae. The record is from RefSeq and is a predicted model, not a curated record.
UGAAGAAACCUCCAUCUUGUCUUUCUCCUGUGGAAGGAGAGCUGGCGCCCAGGGACAGGUGAAGGCCUGUCCUGGCCUUGUUUAUCGAGGAUGAUUUUUCUUGCUCCCCCCGGGCGAGUCGGAGAAUGGCACGUGGAUUCGGACUACCUGUAAUAAGGUGAUGGGGAAACUCUCGGCUGAUCCCCAAAGUGUGGGCCCCCGGACGUGAGUAGGAGCCAAGCGGGUGGAGCAAGAGAACAAGGCAUGGUCCACCGGCCGAUGCCGGAGAGCUGCAUGUCUCCUCUAGCUGCAGUCUCCAUCGAUUCCUCUUCCGGGAAGCCGUUGACGGAACACGGCCUCUGCUCUGGUCUGAUUCUCCACUUGCAAGAUCUCCAGGUGGACUAUGUGACUCCGGACUCCCUCUGUCCACGCGCGGUCGGUUGCGCUGGUAACAACAGCGCAAGGAUCUGAGAAGUCCUGAUUCCCAGGCGCGCCAUCUGCCCUCGGUGCUGCCCAUCGCCGCUCCAGGCCCUCUUGGUGGUCGACCCCAGAGGACGCAGCACCUACUCUUCUGACUCCUCCUGAAACUCCAGCCACAAGUAUUUGAUAGUGUCCCCCUUCCCCAGAUGGUGGUCUGUGCCAAGCACCCGGGAGGGACCGCUGUCCAGGUGCUGGAGAUGAGAGGUGCAGGCUGCGGAUCAGACACUGCACAGCGGGGCAGCUGGGUUGACCUCUCUGUGUGGGGGGACAGUGGCCUGCCCCUUUGGGGGUCAGCCUGAGAAGAAGGAUGGGAGUUGUGACCGAGGGGUGUGGCCAAGCACAAAGGGCAGAUUUAUCCUCUUUGAAUAUUGCUCUGGGAAUAUUCCUCUUCAUUUAAGAAAAUUAA